Molecule: non-coding RNA, 491 nt
Organism: Xiphias gladius (swordfish)
Lineage: Eukaryota; Metazoa; Chordata; Actinopteri; Istiophoriformes; Xiphiidae
Source: the annotation of a RefSeq genome assembly
UUCACAGCCACUGACACACUGGCAGCACAAUGAUGAUGUCUCUGACUCUACUGCUGGCCACCCUGGGGCUCCUUGUUCAGGAUUCAUCAGGAGAAAUCAUCCUGACUCAGUCUCCUGGAUCUCAGUCUGUUGUUCCAGGACAAACUGUCUCUAUCAAAUGUAAAACCAGUUCAGGUAUUGGUGGCUGGCUCAGCUGGUACCUUCAGAAACCUGGAGACGCUCCUAAACUCCUGAUUUAUUUUGCUACAACCCUUCAGUCUGGAGUUUCAGAUCGUUUUAGUGGAAGUGGAUCUGGGUCUGACUUCACUCUGACCAUCAGUAGAGUUCAGGCUGAAGAUUCAGGAGUUUACUACUGUCAGCAGGGUAGCAGCUUCCCGCUCACACAGUGAUACAACGUCGUACAAAAACCUCCCUCAGCUGCAGAGGAACUGAUCUGAAUCAACAGCUGCAAUGAAACUAAAACCGCAAAAGUUUUACUAAAGAAAAUGUAU